UCCACAUCAUUUCCAGAUUUUUCCUCAGGAGUCGAGCCGCCAUUUUUUCGAGUGAAGGUGACUUGGAUAAAAGAUUUUUUUCCAUGACUGGUGGGUGACUUCAGACUUGAACACUAUCUAAGGACUCUGGCGCCAAUGAUGCUCAGAGGGACCUGGAGCAGCUCACUUUGGCUGUGUUUGUCAUUCGGAAGGAGGGGGAAGGACUGCAGGAGCUACCUGAAGACAUUGGCAUUGUCAUUGAGGGCGUGCAGGUG
This is a long non-coding RNA of Cyclopterus lumpus (lumpfish), 254 nucleotides long. RefSeq lists it as uncharacterized. Lineage: Eukaryota; Metazoa; Chordata; Actinopteri; Perciformes; Cyclopteridae. The transcript is spliced from 3 exons. The record is from RefSeq and is a predicted model, not a curated record.